AGAGAAUUGACUGAGUGGUUUAAAGUGGUAAGUUUGAGUUUUAUUUAAUUUUUUAAUUACAUCCGUUCGAAUCGGAUAUUCUCUG
RNAcentral lists this transfer RNA (85 nucleotides) under Esteya vermicola. Its description in RNAcentral is "tRNA-Ser". It matches the Rfam family "tRNA". From Rfam's summary of the family: Transfer RNA (tRNA) molecules are approximately 80 nucleotides in length. Their secondary structure includes four short double-helical elements and three loops (D, anti-codon, and T loops). Further hydrogen bonds mediate the characteristic L-shaped molecular structure. tRNAs have two regions of fundamental functional importance: the anti-codon, which is responsible for specific mRNA codon recognition, and the 3' end, to which the tRNAs corresponding amino acid is attached (by aminoacyl-tRNA synthetases). tRNAs cope with the degeneracy of the genetic code in two manners: having more than one tRNA (with a specific anti-codon) for a particular amino acid; and 'wobble' base-pairing, i.e. permitting non-standard base-pairing at the 3rd anti-codon position. Lineage: Eukaryota; Fungi; Ascomycota; Sordariomycetes; Ophiostomatales; Ophiostomataceae. The record is from RNAcentral.